Onychostruthus taczanowskii (white-rumped snowfinch) is the source of this 706-nucleotide long non-coding RNA. RefSeq lists it as uncharacterized. Lineage: Eukaryota; Metazoa; Chordata; Aves; Passeriformes; Passeridae. The transcript is spliced from 3 exons. The record is from RefSeq and is a predicted model, not a curated record.
CCGGCCCCUCCGCCGCCACCCCCGCGCCACAGGGUCGCGGCCAGCGCCGCGCUGCCCGUCCCCCUCAGCGCCCCGGCUGAGCCCUGCUGCGGAGCGGAGCCUGCCGUCUGCCCUUUGCGGUGUUCCCUCCCCGGCAGGUCCCGCACGGCGCGGCCCCGCAGCGCCGAGGCCCCUGAAGCGACUUGCCCGGGGGCUGUCGGGGGUCACCCGGGCGGUCGGGAGCGAGAGGAGCCUGGGCCGAGUCACUUGGGCUCGUGCCGCCUGGGAUCGUGUUUUGGGGUCUGCAAGAGCCAGAAAAUGUCUGCAGAGCCCCUGACUGUUUUUUGGAGGUCUAAAGACUCCUUUGGGGGUUAUAGAGGGAAGCGGGGGAGAGCGGGAGGAGAGUGGAAGGUGAGGGCUGAGAUGGCCUGAAGCGCUGUAGUGAAGGGAGAUGAGGAGCCAGAGCAUCCGUGGCAUUUCUUUAGUCUUCAGUAAAGAUCUUCAGUGAGUAACCUACCAUGGGAGUCGGGAUAUCAGCAGCCUCAGCCUCCAAAGUCUGUAAAGGCUGGCAUGGGACAGAGCACCGUCUGGGAAGCUGUGUCAGGAGCACUCACCUCUUGACACGGCUGCUAAUACGUGGUUAUUACAGCCCAUUUUGCUGAGCUGAGGUUUGCCUCUGACAGCUGCUCUGGUGAUAAAGUGUUUUACCUCAUCUAAAAAUCAUAAA